Molecule: transfer RNA, 77 nt
Filed under: Syntrophomonadaceae bacterium
Lineage: Bacteria; Bacillati; Bacillota; Clostridia; Eubacteriales; Syntrophomonadaceae
Description: tRNA-Pro
Rfam family: tRNA
About the family: Transfer RNA (tRNA) molecules are approximately 80 nucleotides in length. Their secondary structure includes four short double-helical elements and three loops (D, anti-codon, and T loops). Further hydrogen bonds mediate the characteristic L-shaped molecular structure. tRNAs have two regions of fundamental functional importance: the anti-codon, which is responsible for specific mRNA codon recognition, and the 3' end, to which the tRNAs corresponding amino acid is attached (by aminoacyl-tRNA synthetases). tRNAs cope with the degeneracy of the genetic code in two manners: having more than one tRNA (with a specific anti-codon) for a particular amino acid; and 'wobble' base-pairing, i.e. permitting non-standard base-pairing at the 3rd anti-codon position.
Source: RNAcentral
CGGGAUGUGGCUCAGCUUGGUAGAGCGCCUGGUUCGGGACCAGGAGGUCGCAGGUUCAAAUCCUGUCAUCCCGACCA